UCAGUAACACGUCAGUCACAGUGCCCUACGUGGGUACGUGGAUUACCUCGUGUGUAAACUGAGGAUCAAGCCUACGUAUACGGUCAUAAUGUCUGGAAUCGAUUUAUGGCUAAAUUCUAUAUGGCCCCUGGAUUGGACUGCGGCCGAUCAGGCUGUUGGUGAGGUAAUGGCCCACCAAACCUAAAACCGGUACGGGCUCUGAGAGGAGAAGCCCGGAGAUGGGCACUGAGUACAAGGGCCCAGGCCCUAUGGGGCUGCAGCAGGCGCGAAAACUCUGCAAUAGGCGAAAGCUUGACAGGGUUAUUCUGAGUGAUUUCCGCUAAGGAAAUCUUUUGGCACCUCUAAAAAUGGUGCAGAAUAAG
Molecule: ribosomal RNA, 362 nt
Filed under: unidentified archaeon
Lineage: Archaea
Description: bacterial SSU rRNA
Rfam family: Archaeal small subunit ribosomal RNA
Source: RNAcentral